Molecule: non-coding RNA, 1502 nt
Organism: Candidatus Ryanbacteria bacterium
Lineage: Bacteria; Candidatus Ryaniibacteriota
Source: Rfam
UUUUAUAAGAGUUUGAUCCUGGCUCAGGACGAACGCUGGCGGCGUGGAUAAGGCAUGCAAGUCGAACGGUCCCGCUUUCAUAUAGCAAUAUAUGGUUGCGGGAUAGUGGCGAACGGGGUAGUAACACGUGGGUACUUCCCCUGAAGACGGGAAUAAUUCAUCGAAAGGUGGACUAAUACCCGAUGGUCCCGAAAGGGUAAACGGAGUAAUCCGCUUCAGGAAAGGCCUGCGGGCUAUCAGCUAGUUGGUAGGGUAAAAGCCUACCAAGGCUAUGACGGCUAGGGGGCGUGAGAGCGUGAUCCCCACCAAUGGUACUGCGACACGGACCAUACACCUACGGGUGGCUGCAGUCGAGAAUCUUCCACAAUGGACGAAAGUCUGAUGGAGCGACGCCGCGUGCAGGAAGAAGCUCUUCGGGGCGUAAACUGCUUUUAUAGGGGAGAAAGCCGGGUUAUACCGGAUUGAUAGUACUCUAUGAAUAAGGGCCUGCUAAUCUCGUGCCAGCAGCCGCGGUAAUACGAGAGGCCCGAGCGUUGUCCGGAUUUAUUGGGCGUAAAGGGUGUGUAGGCGGUUGUGUUAGUCCUGCUUUAAAUCUUCGGGCCCAACCCGGAGGCUGGGUAGGAAACGGCACAGCUAGAGGAUGCGAGAGGUGAGCGGAACUCACGGUGUAGGGGUGAAAUCCGUUGAUAUCGUGGGGAACACCAAAGGCGAAGGCAGCUCACUGGCGCAUAUCUGACGCUGAAACACGAAAGCGUGGGGAUCAAAAAGGAUUAGAUACCCUUGUAGUCCACGCCCUAAACGAUGAUGACUGGCUAUUGGAAGUAUCGACCCUUCCAGUGGCGAAGCUAACGCGUUAAGUCAUCCGCCUGGGAAGUACGAUCGCAAGAUUAAAACUCAAAGGAAUAGACGGGGACUUGCACAAGCGGUGGAGCAUGUGGUUCAAUUCGACGGUAAACGAAAAACCUUACCAGGGCUUGAAAUCUCGACGACGAUCCGAUGAAAGUUGGAUUUUCUCACAAGGACGGCGAGACAGGUGCUGCAUGGUUGUCGUCAGUUCGUGGCGUGAGUCGUUCCCUUCAGUGGGGCAACGGACGCAACCCUCGUCGCCUGUUAUACGUGUCAGGCGAGACGGUCCCAUUUAUGGGAAGGAAGGCGAGGAUGACGCCAAAUCAGCAUGGCCCUCUGAUGCCCUGGGCCACACACAUGCUACAAUGGAGCGUACAACGGGCCGCAAUACCGUAAGGUGGAGCUAAUCCCUAAAAGCACUCCCAAGUUCGGAUUGAGGGCUGCAACUCGCCCUCAUGAAGCUGGAAUCGCUAGUAAUCGCAGGUCAGCUAUACUGCGGUGAAUACGUUCUCAAGUCUUGUACUCACCGCCCGUCAACUCAGGGAAGCUGGGAGUAGCUGAAAUCCCGCGUAUGCGGGCCUAAGCUAAGCCUGGUGACAAGGAGUAAGUCGUAACAAGGCACGGGUAGCGGAAGCUGCUCGUGGAAUUUCUCCUUU